UACGGAGGGGGCUAGCGUUGUUCGGAAUUACUGGGCGUAAAGCGCACGUAGGCGGCUUUGUAAGUUAGAGGUGAAAGCCCAGGGCUUAACCCUGGAACUGCCUUUAAGACUGCAUCGCUAGAAUCGUGGAGAGGUGAGUGGAAUUCCGAGUGUAGAGGUGAAAUUCGUAGAUAUUCGGAAGAACACCAGUGGCGAAGGCGGCUCCCUGGACACGUAUUGACGCUGAGGUGCGAAAGCGUGGGGAGCAAACAGG
This 253-nucleotide ribosomal RNA is filed under the name uncultured bacterium. RNAcentral's name for it is "partial 16S ribosomal RNA". It matches the Rfam family "Bacterial small subunit ribosomal RNA", at positions 524 to 776 of the family's 1533-position model. The record is from RNAcentral.